This 356-nucleotide ribosomal RNA is filed under the name Calommata jinggangica. Its description in RNAcentral is "partial 12S ribosomal RNA". Lineage: Eukaryota; Metazoa; Arthropoda; Arachnida; Araneae; Atypidae. The record is from RNAcentral.
UAGGAUUAGAUACCCUAUUAUAAGAUUCCCUAAAUGGUAAUAUUAAUUUAAAAACCAAACCAUAGUGGCGGCCUUUUAAGACAAUUAGAGGAACUUGUUUUAUAAUCGACACCACCCGAUCUUUCUCACUAUUUUUUAAAGCCCUCAUACCUCCGUAUUGCCCCCCCUUGAGGGAGAUAAAAUUAAUUAAAGUUAUUAAUUCAGGUCAAGGUGAAGCCAAUAAAAUAGAAAAAAUGAGUUACUUAUAAACACUAUUUAAGAAUGGUUAUAUAAAAAUGUUUCCUGAAAAAGGAUUUAAUAGUAAAUUUAGAUUAAAAUUCCAAAUUGAAAAAAAUCUAAGGUGCACACAUCGCCCG